AAUAUUGGACAAUGGGGGCAACCCUGAUCCAGCCAUGCCGCGUGUGUGAAGAAGGUCUUUGGAUUGUAAAGCACUCUUAGUAGGGAGGAAGCGCUUUAGGCUAAUACCCCGAAGUCUCUACGCUACCAACAGAAUAAGCUACGACUAACUCUGUGCCAGCAGCCGCGGUAAUACAGAGGGUGCAAGCGUUAAUCGGAAUUACUGGGCGUAAAGCGCGCGUAGGUGGUUCAGUAAGAUGGGUGUGAAAUCCCCGGGCUUAACCUGGGAACUGCUUUCAUAACUGCUGAGCUAGAGUACGGUAGAGGGUAGUGGAAUUUCCUGUGUAGCGGUGAAAUGCGUAGAUAUAGGAAGGAACACCAGUGGCGAAGGCGACUACCUGGACUGAUACUGACACUGAGGUGCGAAAGCGUGGGGAGCAAAC
RNAcentral lists this ribosomal RNA (421 nucleotides) under uncultured bacterium. RNAcentral describes it as "partial 16S ribosomal RNA". It matches the Rfam family "Bacterial small subunit ribosomal RNA", at positions 360 to 773 of the family's 1533-position model. The record is from RNAcentral.